Molecule: ribosomal RNA, 477 nt
Filed under: Triticum aestivum (bread wheat)
Lineage: Eukaryota; Viridiplantae; Streptophyta; Magnoliopsida; Poales; Poaceae
Description: partial small subunit ribosomal RNA
Source: RNAcentral
AUGCCUUACGAUGAGCAGUACACACCGUACAUCAAGCAGGCAGGACUACUCCCGUGGAUUCAGUUGGUCAGCCGGUCCACGCCGAAUCUAAACGCUCCACUGGUGUCCGCUCUUGCUGAUCGGUGGAGGCCGGAGAUGCAUAGUCCCCAUCUUCGGACCGGGGAGAUGACCGUGACGCUCGAGGAUGUCUCGUUGAUCACCGGUCUUGCUAUCGACGGGAUGCCUCUCUGUAUGAGCACCGAUUCUGAUGGGUGGCGCGAGCAGAUGAUUGCUCUUAUCGGUAUGGCUCCUACUGAGGCUGAGGCUGAUGUAGAGGAGGGAGAAGAGAAGAAGAGGGAAAGGAAAGUAGCCGGAGCUGCUUUCACGUGGAUUCAAACUCACUUUGCGACGUGCCCUCCGGAUGCCACUGAUGAUGUGAUCCAGACACAUGCUCGUGUCUACAUGUGGUAUGUUGUGUCGAGGACUUUGUUUUGCUGA